RNAcentral lists this ribosomal RNA (498 nucleotides) under uncultured bacterium. Its description in RNAcentral is "bacterial SSU rRNA". It matches the Rfam family "Bacterial small subunit ribosomal RNA", at positions 29 to 526 of the family's 1533-position model. The record is from RNAcentral.
AAUGAACGUUGGCGGCAUGGAUUAGGCAUGCAAGUCGAGCGAGAAGGUUAUGAUUGACGCUUCGGUUGAUUUCAUAACUGGACAGCGGCGCAAGGGUGAGUAACGCGUAGUUAUCUGCCCCAGGGUUGGGAAUAGCCACGGGAAACUGUGGGUAAUGCCCAAUAAUAUCUCCGGAUCAAAGGUGUGAUUCCGCCCUGGGAGGGGACUGCGUUCUACUAGCUUGUUGGUGGGGUAAUGGCCUACCAAGGCUUUGAUGGAUAGCGGGCGUGAGAGCGUGGCCCGUCACACUGGGACUGAGACACUGCCCAGACACCUACGGGUGGCUGCAGUCGAGAAUCUUCGGCAAUGGGCGAAAGCCUGACCGAGCAAUGCCGCGUGCGGGAUGAAGGCCCUCGGGUUGUAAACCGCGAAAGUGAGGAGGAAGGGCCCGUGAAGAGCGGGUCUUGACCGAUCCACAGUAAGGACGGGCUAAGUUCGUGCCAGCCGCCGCCGUAACAC